UAGGGAAUCUUCCACAAUGGGCGAAAGCCUGAUGGAGCAACGCCGCGUGUGUGAUGAAGGGUUUCGGCUCGUAAAACACUGUUGUAAGAGAAGAAUGACAUUGAGAGUAACUGUUCAAUGUGUGACGGUAUCUUACCAGAAAGCCACGGCUAACUACGUGUCAG
RNAcentral lists this ribosomal RNA (164 nucleotides) under uncultured bacterium. Its description in RNAcentral is "partial 16S ribosomal RNA". It matches the Rfam family "Bacterial small subunit ribosomal RNA", at positions 355 to 511 of the family's 1533-position model. The record is from RNAcentral.